This 3562-nucleotide long non-coding RNA is filed under the name Homo sapiens (human). Its description in RNAcentral is "non-protein coding lnc-NLN-2:1". Lineage: Eukaryota; Metazoa; Chordata; Mammalia; Primates; Hominidae. The record is from RNAcentral.
GAUUACAGGCGUGAGCCACUGCGCCUGGCCUAUUGCUUUUAUUUUUAAAUUUGGAGAAAUUAUGUAGCUCAAUUCAUAAAUAAGUAGAUGAACGAAGCAACUACUUUGUUUUCCCAAAUCUUUGUUUCAAAUAAGAAGGGAAAUAUCGUGAUUGAGAGGUCUCUUCCCUUCUUUUAGUAAAAAUAAUGCAAUACCGCGUUUAAGGGCAUAUAAGUGAAUGAGAGUUAGUAUUGACCUUAUGCUACUGUGAUAUAUGUCAAUUAAAAAAAUGCUAAUGUGUCAAUUUCGGGAGGAUAAAGCAAAAAGAAAAAAAUGCUAAUGUGAGAACAAGCAUGCCAGCAAGCCAUGGUCACCCCACACCCAAUAAAACAGGUAAACAGGAAAACACAAAAAGUACCUGUGAGUAUGAAUAGUAUAUAUAAAAUAUUUUCAAAGAAACAAGUUACUCUUAUGUAUCUUCAAUAGAAAGGAAAAACUAUUAUUUAUUCAGCUUAUGUAUAAUUAUGUUUUCUGUUGCUGAUUCAGUUACUUUUGGGAAAGGCAGUACAAGUAAAGCCACUCAAUAUGGCUUUGUGUUGGACAUUCGUAGUUUCUUAGAACAGCUAACGAAAAUGUAGCUUUUAUGCCCUUUGUUUUUUAACAUAAAGAAUCUGAGAUUGAAGAGGUAGUGUGUUCAGGAUUACAGAAUGAUAAAUGGUGGAAUCUAGACUCAAAUGUAAAGCAGUAUUAUUUCCAAAGCCAGCUACUUUUGUGUUCAGCUAUAUUGUUUUUGAAUUUUCAGUGAUUUAUUGGUAGGCUUUUUGUUAUCUGGGAAUUCCUUCUAUUAAAAUUAUAUUGUCAAGUGUUGAAAUAUGCAGGUUUUAACUAGUUGCAUUGACACAGCUUGAUUUUGUGUCACUCUAAAACUCACCCCCUGCUCCCCCAGGGAGCAAAAACAAAUAAAAACCACAUAUAAACAUAGCUUUCUAGGAACAGUAGUUUCAGAUACUGCUUCCUAAAUUGUUCAAAUAUCUUAGCUUUUCAGUUCUGUUUGUUCCAAGGUGGUCAUAUAUUGUUAUUUUUCAAUAAUCAGAUUUAGUUGUUUUGCCAUUUUUGUUUAGGGAAUUACUAUUAAUUGUUUUUUAAUAUUAAGCAUGAUAAACUUCAGAUGUUUCUCUUUUUAAAGACCUGGUUUUCGUAUAUUGAGUGGUUUCACUUUUGUUACCUUGCCCCAAAGUAAUUGAAUCAGCAACAGAAGAAAGCAUGACAUUUUAAUUGUCUACGUCAAAUUACAUAAUCUAGUGAAGUAUGAAGACUACACUGUUAAAUUAUUAAUGACUUUUGUUUAUUAAACCAAGCAGUGAAAGAGAUGGUAUAGGGACAUUCCCCUCAUAUUUUAUAAGUCAUACUACUGGCUAAAUAGUAUCAGGAUUGUUUUUAGCUCUGCAUUGCUAACUGAGUGAUCUGUCUAAAACUUAAAUUAGACUAUGUCCCUCCUUUGCUUUUAAGUCUUAAAAACUGCUGCUUACCAGUCAAAGUCUAUAUUACUUAGUAUGGUAUUUAAAGCUUUUAAGUUCUAGCCCCCUGCUGACUACCCUAACGUCAUUCCUAUAUAUUUCAAAGCCUAUCCUACCGAAGUUUGUCUGCUGGCAACACUAACUACUAUUUUUCUGUAUGUAGAGAGAUUCUACACUUUGGUUUAUAUAUUCUAUUCUGUCCUAUUUGACUGUUUUCCCUUACCACCAGACUAUUUGGUCUCCUUUUUCCCCACAUUUGUAACUUUUUAUAUUCUUUUUAAGACGUGCUCUUGCUCUUUUGCUCAGAGUUGAGUGCAGUCGUGAAUCAUAGCUCAUCGUGGCCUUGAACUCCUGGGCUCAAGCAAUCUUCCUGCCUCAGCCUCCCAAGUGUAGCUGGGGCUACAGACGUACACCAGCAUGCCUGGCUAAUUUUAUUUUUAUUUUUAUUUUUAGAGACAGGGUGUUGUUGUGUUGCCCAGGCUGGUCUUAAACUCCUGGCCUCAACUCCUGCCUCAGCUGGGAUUACAGGUGUGAGCCACUGGGCUGGGUGGCUAUCAUGUUUUAUCUAAAAUUAGAAACUCCUUGAGGCAGGGACCAUUUAUCUUUGUAUCUUUAGUGUUCAGCACCUAGUAGUAACUCAGCAAAUGUUUGUUUUCUUUCUGACAUAUUUGUCAUAUUUGUAUUUGUUGUAUUUAGCAUCAGAAAGCCAAAUAUGGUCAUUCAACGUUAAUUUGACUGAUUCCUUUUGUUAUUUUAGUCCAGAAUUGCUACCAAAGUGUUUAGGUUUGACCUUUUUGUGCCCAGGAAGUCUAGUCGUUUUGAUGAUAAAUCUAAAUUGGUUGAGGUGUAAUGAAAAAGACAACCAGGUGUCUAGAAGUGACUGUGACAAUUGCAGAUUUAUCUUGUUUGUGCAUGCUGGUUUUUUUUUUUUUCAGUGUUCAAAGCCUGUAUUGCAUCAGGUUUUCAGGUUUAGAUUUCCUAAAUUUGGAACACAAAGUUCCCUUUUUAGAAGAAUAGGUAUUGAGCCCUUGAGCGUGGGUAGAAAGAUAGAGACAGAGUGAUUUGCAAAAUAAUGGAGGAUCAUAUUUAUAUAUGAAUUUUCACUUAUUUGAACUUUCAGAUAUCAGCUCAAAAGCUUUGGUAUAAGUAAAGUAUAUUAAUGAGACUCCUUGGAUGAAAGUAACCAAAACCAGUAAAAAUAAGGUAAUAAGGAUGUAAUAGUUUCUUAUGGACACUCAACAGCUAGAAUGCAGUUAGUCUCAGAAAAGAAUUAGAACAAAUAACUGGAAGGCCAUCAGGAGUCCAAAACCAUCACUCUUUUAUAUUUUAUAUUUUAUUUUUCUCUCUUCAGAUGAGCAUUCUCUUUCUAUGUCCAUAUGGUAGAAGGCGGCAGCUCCAUAGAUUAUGGCUUCAGAUGUUACAGUUCCGCUAAAUGCAGGGACAGACUUGCUAUCUUUCAGUCCCACUUACAUAUCCUGGGGAGAGAGCAAAUGAUUGACUGGCUUGAGUCAGGUGCCCGUUCCCUUUCCAAUCUGCUCCAUCUAGGAGGGCAGUGUUACCUGGUACCAAAAUAGAUGUUAGAGGGCCACCCCUUUCAAAAGGGAGAAUAGCUCUCACAACAGGGCUUCUAUGUUGUGCAGGUUGCUUAUUCCACAUGCUGCUUGCCAAGCUGUAUGCCUAUAAGGGCUGCAGUUUUAAAAUUUGUACAAAGGUGCUUUAUGGAUUUGUGGUAACCUUUUCUCAGAGAAAGGAGGAGUCAUUGUGAAUUGGGGGGCUAUUCCAAGGGGGUCUGCUAUGUCAUUUUUGGGGGAUAUUUAUUGUCCAUCUUAGUAUUGCCAGACUCUUAGCAUUGAAAUAUUAGAUUGUCUCUCACCCUUGGGCCAUGGAGUUUUAUUGCAGCAAAAACAAAAAUCCAUAUGUAUAUAAGUGUUUUCUCAAUAGGUAUAUUGACAGUGGACUUACUAUGAUGUGGAGCUUUGACAUUUGUGGACCUGCUGCGGUGUCCUUACACUCAUUGAGAACCAUUGAUGUUACGCAAAUGCUAUUAAACUUUGCAUCUAAGACUU